GCGAGCGUGGCGGAACUGGUAGACGCGCCGGACUUAGAAUCCGGUGGGUGAUCCCGUGGGGGUUCGAGUCCCUCCGCUCGCACCA
RNAcentral lists this transfer RNA (85 nucleotides) under Deltaproteobacteria bacterium. RNAcentral's name for it is "tRNA-Leu". It matches the Rfam family "tRNA". From Rfam's summary of the family: Transfer RNA (tRNA) molecules are approximately 80 nucleotides in length. Their secondary structure includes four short double-helical elements and three loops (D, anti-codon, and T loops). Lineage: Bacteria; Pseudomonadati; Myxococcota; Myxococcia. The record is from RNAcentral.